This 469-nucleotide ribosomal RNA is filed under the name uncultured bacterium. Its description in RNAcentral is "partial 16S ribosomal RNA". It matches the Rfam family "Bacterial small subunit ribosomal RNA", at positions 28 to 507 of the family's 1533-position model. The record is from RNAcentral.
GACGAACGCUGGCGGCGUGCUUAACACAUGCAAGUCGAACGGAAAGGCCCUGCUUUUGUGGGGUGCUCGAGUGGCGAACGGGUGAGUAACACGUGAGUAACCUGCCCUUGACUUUGGGAUAACUUCAGGAAACUGGGGCUAAUACCGGAUAGGAGCUCCUGCUGCAUGGUGGGGGUUGGAAAGUUUCGGCGGUUGGGGAUGGACUCGCGGCUUAUCAGCUUGUUGGUGGGGUAGUGGCUUACCAAGGCUUUGACGGGUAGCCGGCCUGAGAGGGUGACCGGCCACAUUGGGACUUAGAUACGGCCCAGACUCCUACGGGAGGCAGCAGGGGGGAAUAUUGCACAAUGGGUGGAAGCCUGAUGCAGCAACGCCGUGGGCGGGAUAACGGCCUUCGGGUUGUAAACCGCUUUCGCUCAUGACGAAGCUUUGUGUGACGGUAGUGGGUAAAGAAGCACCGGCUAACUACGUG